Molecule: ribosomal RNA, 429 nt
Filed under: Bacteroidota bacterium
Lineage: Bacteria; Pseudomonadati; Bacteroidota
Description: Bacteroidetes bacterium partial 16S ribosomal RNA
Rfam family: Bacterial small subunit ribosomal RNA
Source: RNAcentral
UAGGGAAUCUUCGGCAAUGGGGGGAACCCUGACCGAGCAACGCCGCGUGAGUGAAGAAGGUUUUCGGAUCGUAAAGCUCUGUUGUUAAGGAAGAACGAGUGUGAGAAUGGAAAGUUCAUGCUGUGACGGUACUUAACCAGAAAGGGACGGCUAACUACGUGCCAGCAGCCGCGGUAAUACGUAGGUCCCGAGCGUUGUCCGGAUUUAUUGGGCGUAAAGCGAGCGCAGGCGGUUAGAAAAGUCUGAAGUGAAAGGCAGUGGCUCAACCAUUGUAGGCUUUGGAAACUGUUUAACUUGAGUGCAGAAGGGGAGAGUGGAAUUCCAUGUGUAGCGGUGAAAUGCGUAGAUAUAUGGAGGAACACCGGUGGCGAGAGCGGCUCUCUGGUCUGUAACUGACGCUGAGGCUCGAAAGCGUGGGGAGCGAACAGG